Molecule: non-coding RNA, 94 nt
Organism: Mycena sp. CBHHK59/15
Lineage: Eukaryota; Fungi; Basidiomycota; Agaricomycetes; Agaricales; Mycenaceae
Source: the annotation of a GenBank genome assembly
GGCCCAGUGGUGAAGUGCAUCACACCUGCUGAAUUUAUCAUAAAAGUAGUGAAGCUACAAGCAGGAGUCUCUUGUUCGAACCAAGGCCAGGUCA